AUUGAACGCUGGCGGCGUGCUUAACACAUGCAAGUCGAUCGGUAACAGGUGUAGCAAUACAUGCUGACGAGAGGCGGACGGGUGAGUAGUGCUUGGGGAAUCUGCCUAUUAGUGGGGGACAACCCGGGGAAACUCGGGCUAAUACCGCAUACGCUCUACGGAGGAAAGCCGGGGACCGCAAGGCCUGGCGCUAAUAGAUGAGCCCAAGUCGGAUUAGCUAGUUGGUAGGGAACGGCCUACCAAGGCGACAAUCCGUAGCUGGUCUGAGAGGACGACCAGCCACACCGGAACUGAGACACGGUCCGGACUCCGUACGGGAGGCAGCAGUGGGGAAUAUUGGACAAGUGGGGGCAACCCUGAUCCAGCGACGCCGCGUGGGUGAAGAAGGCC
This 390-nucleotide ribosomal RNA is filed under the name uncultured bacterium. Its description in RNAcentral is "bacterial SSU rRNA". It matches the Rfam family "Bacterial small subunit ribosomal RNA", at positions 29 to 416 of the family's 1533-position model. The record is from RNAcentral.